RNAcentral lists this non-coding RNA (46 nucleotides) under Schistosoma margrebowiei. The record is from RNAcentral. Lineage: Eukaryota; Metazoa; Platyhelminthes; Trematoda; Strigeidida; Schistosomatidae.
GCACCGCUGAAGAGUCCCAUACUAGGACGAAAUGGGCAUCCAGUAC